Molecule: long non-coding RNA, 1522 nt
Organism: Branchiostoma floridae (Florida lancelet)
Lineage: Eukaryota; Metazoa; Chordata; Leptocardii; Amphioxiformes; Branchiostomatidae
Exons: 3
Source: RefSeq, a predicted model, not a curated record
GUGAUAAUUGGCCGCUAAUGUAUGCAUAUUCCGCCAAUACACAAUGCAACACACUGCUCAUGUCCUGUUGUUUCAAGGGCAUCUGUAAGGGUAUUUCAAGCCCUUUACACGUCCUGUACACAAGAAUGGUGCAUUUCCGCGAAAUUCUAGGACAUGUAAAGGACUGCACACUUCUCGUUCGCAGGCAGGACACCUCAGGGUUUUGAAGGACACGGACAAUUUCCAGGGAUGUAUUCUAGACUUGCAAAAAUGCAAGGAAUACCGAUGUCGCUUUUAAAGGUAGAACACGGAUCAAAAGCGAAAUGUCUGGCCCUGCUACUUGUCGGUGUAUUUGCAUUCUAUAUCUGCGUUAUGGAAACAGUCGAACAAUUAGGGAAUUCACAGACAAAAACAGCAACUUUGAUCAUUUGUGAAAAGGUACACAGCUCCAAGCACAAUUGUCGUCCUCCAAACUUAACAGUACUUAAACGGGCCGAAGAGGACCAGGCAAACAGACUUACAAUCUUAAAACGGUAUUGUAAGGAUAAUCCUUCAAAUAAAACGGUUAGUCACUUUCAUUAUCACAUUCAUCUAAAAAUCCGUUGUCUUGAAUUUAAUUCCCUUUAGUUCAACGAGUUAUGGGAUAUGUUACAUGAAAUGUGUGAUUUAACCCUAUCCAGAGAAGACAUUUUGUCAAUCAAGGACGCGGGGUGUGCAAAGCUCCUGUAAUUCUUAAAUGGAUAUAUGACACUAUAGUAUAGGCACUAUAGGAAAUUUGACACUAUAGUUGCGAAAUGUGUCAAAGUUUUGGUGUAAUCUGACAUCAUUUUAUCUAAGACUAGUUGAGAUCCGUCAUCUUAUACUCAACAACUUGAAUUUUCAGCGAACAAUGGUUAAAGACUUCGGAAAUUAACUAAAAACGUAAGGAAAAAAAUCAGGUGGUUGCAAAGGUAGCAUGUUAAGCUAUUGUGAAAUUUUUGCCGUGGCUGAUGGUGUCAUCAAAGAAACAAUGUCUUUUUAUACACCUUAUUAUGAAUUAUAACAUAGUUAACACAUAUACUCUAUUUAUGUGAAAAUAACAGUAAUAUGGCAAAUAAACAGAAAAUAUACAUUGUUAGAAUGGAAAAUAGCGAUUUUCGUAAAACGCCUGACAACGGUUAACUUGGUGACAUGAAAAAGGAAAGUUUUCUAAUAUAUAGGAAAAGUUACAUAUAAAAAAUUUGUGUCAAUAAUUCAUGUAGUUUAAAAAAUGCUUUUUUUUCGUGUACCGCAUUAUACCUCUUAAGGCCGUCCAUCCAAUUGCAAGGUCAAUAGGUGAAGUAGAAAUAGUAGAAAUUGCAGCCAAGGAUAACCCUACCGGCCCUGUUUUGGAGUUUCUUCGGUUUGUCUAUGUGAACUUAGCUGCCUUGAUCCCAGACAGAAGUACAGCACUGUGUGUAAGUAUGGAAUGAAAAGGGAUAUAUAUACACUUAUUUAAGGAUUGUUUGUUGAGGAAAGGCUUCAGGCACUUCAUGACGCCAAAGACUUGCCUUUUCAUGUUUAU